Molecule: transfer RNA, 62 nt
Filed under: Fukomys damarensis (Damara mole-rat)
Lineage: Eukaryota; Metazoa; Chordata; Mammalia; Rodentia; Bathyergidae
Rfam family: tRNA
About the family: Transfer RNA (tRNA) molecules are approximately 80 nucleotides in length. Their secondary structure includes four short double-helical elements and three loops (D, anti-codon, and T loops). Further hydrogen bonds mediate the characteristic L-shaped molecular structure. tRNAs have two regions of fundamental functional importance: the anti-codon, which is responsible for specific mRNA codon recognition, and the 3' end, to which the tRNAs corresponding amino acid is attached (by aminoacyl-tRNA synthetases). tRNAs cope with the degeneracy of the genetic code in two manners: having more than one tRNA (with a specific anti-codon) for a particular amino acid; and 'wobble' base-pairing, i.e. permitting non-standard base-pairing at the 3rd anti-codon position.
Source: Rfam by way of RNAcentral
GGGGUUGUAGCUCAGUGGUAGAGUGUGUGGUUAGCAUGCACAAGGUCCUGAGUUCAAUCCCU